Molecule: transfer RNA, 31 nt
Filed under: Tylototriton shanjing
Lineage: Eukaryota; Metazoa; Chordata; Amphibia; Caudata; Salamandridae
Also listed under: 3 other names
Description: partial transfer RNA-Pro
Source: RNAcentral
AAUGGCGGAAGUGAAAAUCUUUCCCUCUUGA